This 2271-nucleotide ribosomal RNA is filed under the name Polymastigidae sp. CtTsD. Its description in RNAcentral is "partial small subunit ribosomal RNA". It matches the Rfam family "Eukaryotic small subunit ribosomal RNA". Lineage: Eukaryota; Preaxostyla; Oxymonadida; Polymastigidae. The record is from RNAcentral.
UCAAAGAUUAAGCCAUGCAUGUCCAAGUAUAAACAACUCGUAUUUGUGAAACUGCGAAUGGCUCAAUAAAUCAGUUAUAAUUUAUUUGAUAGUGACUUUACUACAUGGAUAGCCGUAGUAAUUCUAGAGCUAAUACAUGCGUAAAGGCCUGACUCGAGAGGGAAGGGCUGUGUAUAUUAGAUCGAAAACCAACGAUCUAGGGUUCGGGAUGGGUUGUAUACGUCCAGUUCUUCACGGGAUUAGGCGUGUAUGGCUUGUCAUUCAAACCGUCCCUAGAAUAAAAUUUUUGGUGAAUCAUGAUAUAUGUCGAAUCGAACGUCAGUUCGAUGUGUCAAUCAAAUUUCUGCCCUAUCGACCUUUGAUGGUAGGAUAUUGGCCUACCAUAGUUUUGACGGGUAACGGAGAAUUAGGGUUCGAUUCCGGAGAGGGAGCCUGAGAGAUGGCUACCACUUUCAAGGAAGGCAGCAGGCGCGCAAAUUACCCAAUCCCAAUAAGUUUGGGGAGGUAGUGACAAAAAAUAACAAUGCGGUGCCUCACGGUAUCUGCAAUUGGAAUGGGGUGGAUUUACAACCUCCACCGAGAAACAAUUAGAGGGCAAGUCUGGUGCCAGCAGCCGCGGUAAUUCCAGCUCUAAUAGUGUAUACUAAAAUUGCUGCAGUUAAAAAGCUCGUAGUUGGAUUUAGGAGGAGGCAAUAUUUCCCCACACGAGAUAGGAUUGUGGUGUUGACUGGGCUCGUAUUGAACGAAUUCUACUACCUCACGGUAGUGUGAGCGUGCCAUUACUUGUGCAUGUCUUCACAGUAACAUGGUCCUAUCAUAAUCUGGUGCUUUGCAUUAUUUCUGGACAAGCUUCUAGUGAUAGACUCAAGGGAAUUGGGGGUUUCGGCCUUCCGAUGAACGCGAGCCUAACUCGUAGAGCGCCAGAUCAUGUAGUGCUAAGUACCGGCGUGUGGGUAGCCUCUUCUAUAGUUUAUUUUCGAGGGAUUGUCUUCUCCUUAAUUGGCUGGAGACGGUAACUCGGAGAUUUUACUUUGAAGAAAAUGGAGUGUUCAAAGCAGGUGAUUUUCGCAACUGAACACAUUAGCAUGGAAUAAUAAAAUAGGACACUUGGCGGUUGUUGCUGUAGUGGCUCCUGCUCUCUGGGUAGGAGAUUACAACAUUGCAGUGAUGGUCGUUACUAAACCCGGCUCGUAAACGGGGUAUGGGGCAACUUGUAUUUCGUGAGUUGGGAGGUAUUCUAUUUUGUUGGUUCAUAGAACAGGUGUAAUGAUUAAUAGGGACAGUUGGGGGUGUCUGUAUUGCGUGGCUAGAGGUGAAAUUCAUGGAUUCACGCAAGACAAACAAAUGCGAAAAGCAUUCACCAAGGAUGUUUUUCAUUAAUCAAGAACGAAAGUUAAGGGAUCGAAGGCGAUCAGAAACCGCCCUAGUCUUAACUAUAAACGAUGCCAACUAGGGAUUGGAGGGAUGCUUAAUAUAUUAUAGCCCCGCCAGGACCUUUUCAGAGAAAUCGUAAGUCUCUGGGUUCUGGGGGGAGUAUGGUCACAAGGCUGAAACUUAAAGAAAUUGACGGAAGGGCACCACCAGGUGUGGAGCCUGCGGCUUAAUUUGACUCAACACGGGGAAACUUACCAGGUCCAGACGCGGGAAGGAUUGACAGAUUGAGAGUUCUUUCUUGAUUCCGGGGAUGGUGGUGCAUGGUCGUUCUUAGUUGGUGGAGUGAUUUGUCUGGUUAAUUCCGAUAACGAACGAGACCUCAACUAGCUAACUAGCCGACAGAAUAAUUAAAGAUUCGGCCUACCGCGAGGGUGUUGCUUGAAGGGUAUCGCAAGGUACUUGGAUGGUAAUAGUCUUUGGUAGGUUCGAGGUAUUCUGGUUUUUAAUUGGCUUCUUAGAAGGACUACCAUAGUCGCAUGUGGUGGAAGCAUGAGGCAAUAACAGGUCUGUGAUGCCCUUAGAUGUUCUGGGCCGCACGCGCGCUACACUGAUGGAUUCAACAAGUGUUAAUUUUUAUUCCUUGCUCGAAAGAGUUGGGUAAUCUUGUAAAUAUCCAUCGUGCUGGGGAUUGACCUUUGUAAUUGUUGGUCAUGAACGAGGAAUACCUAGUAAGUGCAAGUCAUCAGCUUGCGCUGAUUACGUCCCUGCCCUUUGUACACACCGCCCGUCGCUCCUACCGAUUGAAUGAUCAGAUGAAAUGUUCGGAUUGUUGUUUUGCAAGCUGCCUUCGGGUAGUCGGUGAGGCGAUGAGAAGAACAGUGAAUCUUAUUAUUUAGA